RNAcentral lists this ribosomal RNA (506 nucleotides) under uncultured bacterium. RNAcentral's name for it is "partial 16S ribosomal RNA". It matches the Rfam family "Bacterial small subunit ribosomal RNA", at positions 28 to 523 of the family's 1533-position model. The record is from RNAcentral.
GAUGAACGCUAGCUACAGGCUUAACACAUGCAAGUCGAGGGGUAACGAGAGGGAAGCUUGCUUUCCUUGUCGACGACCGGCGCACGGGUGAGUAACGCGUAUCCAACCUGCCCCCAACUAAGGAAUAACCUUGCGAAAGUAAGACUAAUACCCUAUAAUUUCCUCAGAUGACAUCUGACGAGGAAUAAAGAUUUAUCGGUUGUGGAUGGGGAUGCGUCUGAUUAGCUUGUUGGCGGGGUAAUGGCCCACCAAGGCAACGAUCAGUAGGGGUUCUGAGAGGAAGGUCCCCCACAUUGGAACUGAGACACGGUCCAAACUCCUACGGGAGGCAGCAGUGAGGAAUAUUGGUCAAUGGGCGGAAGCCUGAACCAGCCAAGUAGUGUGCAGGAUGACGGCCCUAUGGGUUGUAAACUGCUUUUAUACAGGAAUAAAGUUAGCCACGUGUGGUUAUUUGUAGGUACUGUAUGAAUAAGGACCGGCUAAUUCCGUGCCAGCCGCCGCCGUAA